Molecule: ribosomal RNA, 173 nt
Filed under: uncultured bacterium
Lineage: Bacteria
Description: partial 16S rRNA
Rfam family: Bacterial small subunit ribosomal RNA
Source: RNAcentral
CGGGAGGCAGCAGUGGGGAAUAUUGGACAAUGGGCGAAAGCCUGAUCCAGCCAUGCCGCGUGUGUGAAGAAGGUCUUCGGAUUGUAAAGCACUUUAAGUUGGGAGGAAGGGCAGUAAGUUAAUACCUUGCUGUUUUGACGUUACCAACAGAAUAAGCACCGGCUAACUUCGUG